GUAGUUAGCCGGGGCUUCCUCACAAGGUACCGUCACUUCUUCGUCCCUUGCGACAGAGGUUUACAACCCGAAAGCCUUCUUCCCUCACGCGGCGUUGCUGGGUCAGGCUUGCGCCCAUUGCCCAAUAUUCCCCACUGCUGCCUCCCGUAGGAGUCUGGACCGUAUCUCAGUUCCAGUGUGGCCGAUCAGCCUCUCAGCUCGGCUACCCAUCGUCGACUUGGUGGGCCGUUACCCCGCCAACUAUCUAAUGGGACGCGAACCCCUCUUAUACCGGAUUGCUCCUUUGACCUCAUCCCGAUGUCGGGUCGUGGUCUUAUGCGGUAUUAGCAACCGUUUCCGGUUGUUAUCCCCCUGUAUAAGGCAGGUUGUUCACGCGUUACUCACCCGUUCGCCACUAAGUUAUCAACCGAAAUCAAUAACUCCGUUCGACUUGCAUGUGUUAGGCACGCCGCCAGCGUUCGUCCUGAGCCAGGAUCAAACUCUGA
This 485-nucleotide ribosomal RNA is filed under the name uncultured bacterium. RNAcentral's name for it is "partial 16S ribosomal RNA". The record is from RNAcentral.